Clarias gariepinus (North African catfish) is the source of this 822-nucleotide long non-coding RNA. RefSeq lists it as uncharacterized. NCBI's taxonomy places the organism in Eukaryota, Metazoa, Chordata, Actinopteri, Siluriformes, Clariidae. The record is from RefSeq and is a predicted model, not a curated record. The transcript has 4 exons.
AUCAAAAGUGCAGAACGUAGCCCUGUCAUUAGAGAGCAGGAAGCAGUUGAGCUGAGUGAACCUAAAGUGAAUAUAAACAAUGGUGAAUAUAAACAUUAAAUACGGUGAAAGAUGAGUCUGCAAAAAGCGCUUCAAGAGCCUGAGACAAGCCAUCAUGGCCAAAGUUCCAGAUGCAGUGGUUAAUGGGACUGUGGUGAGGAAAACAUGUUUCGAGGUUGAGAUCAAUGGCCAUCUUGUGUUCUCCAAACUAGAGAUGGGAGGAUUUCCUCAUGAGGAGGAUGUGGUGGCUGCUGUUAUCCAGGCUCAGGAUGGCACGCCUAAGAAGCUCACUAGAUGCGUUAAGGAUUGCGUCAUCUCCUAGCAUGUUGACCUUUAGCCACUGCCCACUCUUAUGAUUAGCACAUCUCAUAAUAAUUUUAUAAGAACUAUGACACUUUAGAUUUUCAGUUCCCCGUGUGUCAUAUUUUUUUCUCUGCUUCUGGACUAAACAUUUUGGACUUACAUGAUUACUAUAGCUGAAAAUGCGAAAGGUUAUGGUAUGAAACACUUUAUUCCAAAUCGCUCUAUUGUAGAAGCAGAGAGACAAAAUAUGAGGGACAGGGUAGUGGGAUGGGCAGGAACUAAUUCUCUUAUCUUUUAUGCAAAUUAUGUGCAAAUGUCUUACACUUACCGGCACGCAUUGCUUAUUAAAUAGGUGAUUAGGGAUGCAGUAAUUUCUUUUCUUUAUCUUCUCUUUAUCUUUCUUUUUUUAAGUUACAUCUUGUUUUACAUAUUUAAGUACUUAUAAAUAAAAUAAAAUAUUGCCCUGCUAAUAUAAAUGAA